RNAcentral lists this unclassified non-coding RNA (265 nucleotides) under plant metagenome. Its description in RNAcentral is "partial contains small subunit ribosomal RNA, internal transcribed spacer 1, and 5.8S ribosomal RNA". The record is from RNAcentral.
UUUCCGUAGGUGAACCUGCGGAAGGAUCAUUAUUGAAACUUCAUCCGGGGCGCCGCGGCCCUCAGCACCGGUGGAAUCGCCGUGUUGCGGGGGCCGCGCGUGCACUCGUCCAAACCAAACCCCUGUGAACCUUACGGGAUGGCCUGGGUUAGCGCCCGGUGCCGUUCCGCUUUAUACAAACACUUAUCAAAGAAUGAACUGAAGGCGGUCUGACCGCUGGAUAACAAAACUGAAACGACUUUCAACAACGGAUCUCUUGGCUCUC